This 157-nucleotide ribosomal RNA is filed under the name uncultured fungus. RNAcentral describes it as "5.8S ribosomal RNA". It matches the Rfam family "5.8S ribosomal RNA". From Rfam's summary of the family: 5.8S ribosomal RNA (5.8S rRNA) is a component of the large subunit of the eukaryotic ribosome. It is transcribed by RNA polymerase I as part of the 45S precursor that also contains 18S and 28S rRNA. Lineage: Eukaryota; Fungi. The record is from RNAcentral.
AACUUUCAGCAACGGAUCUCUUGGCUCUCGCAGUCGAUGAAGAACGCAGCGAAAUGCGAUAAGUAAUGUGAAUUGCAGAAUUCAGUGAAUCAUCGAAUCUUUGAACGCACCUUGCGCCCCUUGGCUAUUCCGAGGGGGCAUGCCUGUUUGAGUAUCA